GGAUUAGAUACCCUGGUAGUCUACGCCGUAAACGAUGUGCACUUGGUGUUGGGGAGUUAAUUCUCAGUGCCGAAGUAAACGCGAUAAGUGCACCGCCUGGGAGUAUGCCGGCAACGGUGAAACUCAAAGGAAUUGACGGGGGCCCGCACAAGCGGUGGAGCAUGUGGUUUAAUUCGAUAUACGCGAGGAACCUUACCAGGGCUUGACAUAGAGACGACAGGUCUAGAGAUAGAUCCUUUCUUCGGAACGUCUUUACAGGUGCUGCAUGGUUGUCGUCAGCUCGUGUUG
Molecule: ribosomal RNA, 288 nt
Filed under: uncultured bacterium
Lineage: Bacteria
Description: partial 16S ribosomal RNA
Rfam family: Bacterial small subunit ribosomal RNA
Source: RNAcentral